AUUGAACGCUGGCGGCAUGCCUUACACAUGCAAGCCGAACGGCAGCACGGGGCAACCUGGUGGCGAGUGGCGAACGGGUGAGUAAUGCAUCGGAACGUGCCAUUGAGUGGGGGAUAACGUAGCGAAAGUUGCGCUAAUACCGCAUAUUCUGUGAGCAGGAAAGCAGGGGACCGCAAGGCCUUGCGCUCUUUGAGCGGCCGAUGUCAGAUUAGCUAGUUGGUGAGGUAAAGGCUUACCAAGGCGACGAUCUGUAGCGGGUCUGAGAGGAUGAUCCGCCACACUGGAACUGAGACACGGUCCAGACUCCUACGGGAGGCAGCAGUGGGGAAUUUUGGACAAUGGGCGCAAGCCUGAUCCAGCCAUGCCGCGUGAGUGAAGAAGGCCUCGGGUUGUAAAGCUCUUUCGGCCGGGAAGAAAUCGCAUGGGUUAAUACCCUGUGUGGAUGACGGUACCGGAAUAAGAAGCACCGGCUAACUACGUG
RNAcentral lists this ribosomal RNA (481 nucleotides) under uncultured bacterium. RNAcentral's name for it is "bacterial SSU rRNA". It matches the Rfam family "Bacterial small subunit ribosomal RNA", at positions 30 to 507 of the family's 1533-position model. The record is from RNAcentral.